CUUUCAAGUUCAAAAAUUGAACUUUCGUAACUGUCAAGUUCAAAAUUGAACGUUCAUUCCUUUUGAAGUUCAAAAACCACGUCUCUAAAUUCCACGGACUUCCCAUACAUCCUUCAGGAAACGCAUUUCCACGAAGCUUUCUUCGCCACUUCGAACCCAUUUGACCUCAUUAAAUGCUCAUCGGAUACAAUAUGCACUUUUCCAAUUUUUCCAGGGGGUAAUAUUUGCAAGAUGGACGAGGGCGGACCCAUUUACAAACUUAAAUGUGGAUCAAACACGCCCUUGUGUCUUUAUGGGGUGGCCAACUUCUUCUCAAACAAACAGACAACUCCUGGCCAUCAAUGCAACGAUGGCAGCUACUUUGCACGACUCACUUCAGACCGCAGACUGUGGAUUUCAACCACCAUCUUGCAGAACUUUAGCGAUAACUGAAUACCUUCAACAAAACAGCUGAUUUUUUCUCAUAUUCGAAAUUUGUAUCGAUCUGGAAUUAUUAUCAAAAGUAUUUGGCGAUAUGUAAGUUUGUUUCAGUCUAGCACUUGAAUGAUGUUCAAAAAAAUUUAAUCAAAUUUAAAGUAAGGUGUGUCAAAAGAAAGUAUCUUUGACAAUUUUUUCAAAUUUUUGAAGCUGUACAUUACGAGGCCAAACUGUGCACUGGAUAGGAGCACAAUUUUGUGUCUGUAAGUUCCUGGAUUCCAGAGACAAGUCUUUAAACAUGUUACAAUUUUGUAGGACGAUCAAAGAGAAGGAAAGAACAAAAGAAGAACAAAGGGAGCGUCCUUGUAGUGGAAUCCGCUUACA
Molecule: long non-coding RNA, 801 nt
Organism: Symsagittifera roscoffensis
Lineage: Eukaryota; Metazoa; Xenacoelomorpha; Acoela; Convolutidae
Exons: 3
Source: RefSeq, a predicted model, not a curated record